UACCUACUAUAGAAACUAGAUUACAAACUAAAUCUUAACUUAACUUCAUAACAAACAGUGUAUUUAAUAUAAAUCCUCAUAAGGCGCAGCUAUAGAUAUCUACUUAGCCAUCGUUAUCUAGUGCCAGCUGCAGCUAACGGUAAAAAAUCACAUGUUUACGCCGUCAGUACUAGUUGCCGGCUUAUCGAAAUAACAAGUAAAUUAAAUCAAAUUCAGUGCCUAUUGUGAUUAAAGUGCAGUUAUCUCAAUAUUUAGUGCAUAAAACAAGUACAUUACGUGUUUUUUCAACAGAUAUACUAGUACACAAAGAUAUUAGGACCUAACGAGUACAUAGUGCUAAUUAUCUUAACUAAAACUACGAAUUACAAAUCGAAUGUGCCCAUGAAGAAGCUGCCGAGCAAUACUCCCAGCGGAAUACUUUCGAGGCAACGUACUACAGCAGCAUCGCUCGCGCCCAGCUCCUGCUGAGCGAGGCGGAGGGUCCUGCAGGCAGGAGUAGUAAGUCACCACCAGCCGAUAUGCAGGUGACGGAUAUGAAGCGCACAAAGCUCGGACCAAAAUGACUUAUUGCCACUCACACCUGGCCACUUCAUCAUCGGGCGAAGUAUGACGGCGAUCCCAGAAGAAGACCUUACUUCACGCACCAGAUUAGUGGACAGAUACCAGAAGAUUCAACAGCUUCGCCAGCACUUCUGGGCACGUUGGCAACUAGAAUAUAUAAGUGAGCUUCAGAUCCGAACUAAAUGGAGGCAGUCGACGAACGGGCAACUAGAGAUUGGGACCCUCGUCGUUAUCAAAGAUAAGCAACAACCUCCAAUAAAAUGGCUCCUAGGGAGAAUACAACGAGUCUUCCCAGGGCGCGACGGCGUUACCAGAGUCGCAGAGAUUCAAACUAC
Leguminivora glycinivorella is the source of this 896-nucleotide long non-coding RNA. RefSeq lists it as uncharacterized. NCBI's taxonomy places the organism in Eukaryota, Metazoa, Arthropoda, Insecta, Lepidoptera, Tortricidae. The record is from RefSeq and is a predicted model, not a curated record. The transcript has 3 exons.